UUUCCUACGGGGCGCAGCAGUAGGGAAUCUUCCACAAUGGACGAAAGUCUGAUGGAGCAACGCCGCGUGAGUGAAGAAGGGUUUCGGCUCGUAAAGCUCUGUUGGUAGUGAAGAAAGAUAGAGGUAGUAACUGGCCUUUAUUUGACGGUAAUUACUUAGAAAGUCACGGCUAACUUCGUUCCCGCAGCCGCGGUAAUACGUAGGUGGGAAGCGUUGUCCGGAUUUAUUUGGCGUAAAACGAGUG
Molecule: ribosomal RNA, 244 nt
Filed under: uncultured bacterium
Lineage: Bacteria
Description: partial 16S ribosomal RNA
Rfam family: Bacterial small subunit ribosomal RNA
Source: RNAcentral